RNAcentral lists this ribosomal RNA (541 nucleotides) under Physarum decipiens. RNAcentral's name for it is "SSU rRNA". The record is from RNAcentral. Lineage: Eukaryota; Evosea; Eumycetozoa; Physariida; Physaraceae.
CCAGUAGUGUAUGCUUCUCCUAAAGACUAAGCCAUGCAUGCCUUCGAAUAAGAGGAAGCAAUUCUCUCCGAAUCUGCGAACGGCUCCGCAAACCAGUUGUAAACUAUAGCAAGCAUACCCCCGGUCUCCGGACUGGGGGUUAUAAGGAUAACCCUGGUAAUUCUGAGGCUAAUACUUGAGCGUACCACCUGGCCAACCGGAAACGGRAAGCUGGGGGACGUGUGUUGGUUCGCAAGGUUAACUGGGAAAGGAUGCACGUUUAGACCACCAUAAAAACGGUAUCGGGCGACAACCACUCACGUGGGGAAACCUGUGUCCGGGUGGCUCUUGCUUUGUGCUUCUGACCUAUCAACUAGAUGGCAGCGUAAGGGACAUGCUAUGGUUACAACGGGUACAGAGGAUAAGGGUUCGAUCCUGGAGAGUGGGCCUGAGAGAUUGCUCACACUUCUAAGGAAGGCAGCAGGCGCGCAACGUUCCCAUUGGGCAAUGCCCGAGGGCGUUAGGGGACAUAUGAAUGCCUGUCAAUUGAUGGGCAAUUCAA